Molecule: ribosomal RNA, 655 nt
Filed under: Comamonadaceae bacterium
Lineage: Bacteria; Pseudomonadati; Pseudomonadota; Betaproteobacteria; Burkholderiales; Comamonadaceae
Description: bacterial SSU rRNA
Rfam family: Bacterial small subunit ribosomal RNA
Source: RNAcentral
AAGUACGCUAAGAAGUCGGUCCGGAUAACGGUAAGGGUACGCUAUAUUUUCUGAAAGUGCCCAAUCGUGGGGGAUAACGCAGCGAAAGCUGUGCUAAUACCGCAUACGAUCUACGGAUGAAAGCGGGGGAUCGCAAGACCUCGCGCGAUUGGAGCGGCUGAUAUCAGAUUAGCUAGUUGGUGGGGUAAAGGCCUACCAAGGCGACGAUCUGUAGCUGGUCUGAGAGGACGACCAGCCACACUGGAACUGAGACACGGUCCUGACUCCUACGGGAGGCAGCAGUGGGGAAUUUUGGACAAUGGGCGCAAGCCUGAUCCAGCAAUGCCGCGUGCAGGAUGAAGGCCUUCGGGUUGUAAACUGCUUUUGUACGGAACGAAAAGGUCUCUCUUAAUACGAGAGAUUUAUGACGGUACCGUAAGAAUAAGCACCGGCUAACUACGUGCCAGCAGCCGCGGUAAUACGUAGGGUGCGAGCGUUAAUCGGAAUUACUGGGCGUAAAGCGUGCGCAGGCGGUUUUGUAAGACAGAUGUGAAAUCCCCGGGCUCAACCUGGGACCUGCAUUUGUGACUGCAAGGCUAGAGUACGGUAGAGGGGGAUGGAAUUCCGCGUGUAGCAGUGAAAUGCGUAGAUAUGCGGAGGAACACCGAUGGCGAAG